RNAcentral lists this ribosomal RNA (392 nucleotides) under uncultured bacterium. RNAcentral's name for it is "partial 16S ribosomal RNA". It matches the Rfam family "Bacterial small subunit ribosomal RNA", at positions 523 to 918 of the family's 1533-position model. The record is from RNAcentral.
AUACGGAGGAUCCGAGCGUUAUCCGGAUUUAUUGGGUUUAAAGGGUGCGCAGGCGGACAUUUAAGUCAGCGGUUAAAUCGUGGGGCUCAACCCCAUUCUGCCGUUGAUACUGGGUGGCUUGAUUGCGGUCGAGGUUGGCGGAAUUCGCUGUGUAGCCGUGAAAUGCAUAGAUAGGACGAAGAACACCGAUUGCGGAGGCAGCUGGCCAGACCGUAAAUGACGCUCAUGCACGAAAGUGCAGGGAUCGAACAGGAUUAGAUACCCUGGUAGUCCGCACAGUAAACGAUGAAUACUUGAUUUCGGCGAUAUAAUGUCGGAGGCUAAGCGAAAGCAAUAAGUAUUCCCCCUGGGGAGUACGCCGGCAACGUCGAAACUCAAAGUAAUUGACGGUG